CACUGCCUCUGAUUGCAGCCUCGAUGCGUGCUCUUUUUCUUCUGUCGGGAGUCCCUGUCCGUAAUUGCCCGCGUUCUUUCCUGUCUAUUCGAAGUUCACUUUCAGGCAUUCGCUGAGAAGCAGAUUGAUUGACAUUUUCCAACAAGGCUGAUAGGUGCGGACUGAUCCAGAAAUACCUGUAAGUUUCGCUGUUGUUUCUCUCAGAACUAUUUAUCUCAGGUCACUUCAUGGCCAGGCUUGUGUUAACUUUGCUGCUACACCAGCUGCGAGUUUUUCCGGUCAGAUACAUACCGAGCGGUAAAUGCAUUCUACGCGAAGAUAUAUUUGAACAUUCGCUGGCAACUAGUAUCGUGCAAACACGGAUUUCAGAGUCAGCAGCUCGUUAGCUGUGCACCAUUGCCUACAGAAAAAUCUUACCUAUCAAUGUUUUCCUCUUGCAUUCAGGUCUCUAAAGUGGUCUUCAGAAUCAACAUUUAAGAUGAACAUCGGUAGCGUAAGUCCCGUUUUUUGAACACGUAGUGGUGCUUCAAAUCUCACUUGUAAUGCAUUUUGCCUUGAAGAAAAAGGAAAUCCGUUCUAGAUAUGCAGACGAGUUUUCGAGUAAACUUUCUUGGAUAAGUACUCGGGCAGAACCUGUGGUAAUUCUCUUCGCUAUAUACAGCUGUUAUUUCUGAUCUCAUGAGAUGUUUCUGCAGCUCAGUCACAUCAGGAAUUUGGACUUCUCUAAUCUUAUCCGGGGUUAUCCAGUUAUCCACAAAGACUACUCUCGGAAAAGGUGUGAUUUGCCGUAACUGUCAUGCUUGCCAUAGUUCUAGGAUCCUGCUGAUAUUAUUGUUAUCGAUGAACUCGGUGGUGUGGUGCUGUCGAACUUGUAAACUACACCGCUCCAGGUUUUCUGCAUUUUGGUAUUGACAAAGCUAUGAAGUCCUGAGUUUACUAUGUUGAUUUUGACAGAAUUUUGGAAACUGAUUGAGUUCUCAGAUUUGCAAUCUAGAUUACACAGUUUUUGCUUUUCGUCGAGACAAUGGGUUGGGGCAGCUUAACUUCUCAUUUAAUUAAACAGCGUUUUCAGUCGAA
Selaginella moellendorffii is the source of this 1077-nucleotide long non-coding RNA. RefSeq lists it as uncharacterized. The transcript has 3 exons. Lineage: Eukaryota; Viridiplantae; Streptophyta; Lycopodiopsida; Selaginellales; Selaginellaceae. The record is from RefSeq and is a predicted model, not a curated record.